RNAcentral lists this ribosomal RNA (152 nucleotides) under uncultured bacterium. RNAcentral's name for it is "partial 16S ribosomal RNA". It matches the Rfam family "Bacterial small subunit ribosomal RNA", at positions 328 to 497 of the family's 1533-position model. The record is from RNAcentral.
GCAGCAUACUCCUACGGGAGGCAGCAGUGGGGAAUCUUGGACAAUGGGGGCAACCCUGAUCCAGCCAUGCCGCGUGAGUGAUGAAGGCUUAGGGUUGUAAAGCUCUUUCACCUCGGAACGAUAAAUGACGUACCCAGAGACGCCCAGUCCGC